RNAcentral lists this ribosomal RNA (861 nucleotides) under uncultured bacterium. RNAcentral's name for it is "bacterial SSU rRNA". It matches the Rfam family "Bacterial small subunit ribosomal RNA", at positions 100 to 956 of the family's 1533-position model. The record is from RNAcentral.
GAACGGGUGAGUAAUGUAUCGGAACGUACCUUUCAGUGGGGGAUAACGUAGCGAAAGUUACGCUAAUACCGCAUAUUCUGUGAGCAGGAAAGCAGGGGAUCGCAAGACCUUGCGCUGAUUGAGCGGCCGAUAUCAGAUUAGCUAGUUGGUGAGGUAAAGGCUCACCAAGGCGACGAUCUGUAGCGGGUCUGAGAGGAUGAUCCGCCACACUGGAACUGAGACACGGUCCAGACUCCUACGGGAGGCAGCAGUGGGGAAUUUUGGACAAUGGGGGCAACCCUGAUCCAGCCAUGCCGCGUGAGUGAAGAAGGCCUUCGGGUUGUAAAGCUCUUUCGGCCGGGAAGAAAUCGCAUGGGUUAAUACCCUGUGUGGAUGACGGUACCGGAAUAAGAAGCACCGGCUAACUACGUGCCAGCAGCCGCGGUAAUACGUAAGGUGCGAGCGUUAAUCGGAAUUACUGGGCGUAAAGCGUGCGCAGGCGGUUUAGUAAGACAGGCGUGAAAUCCCCGGGCUCAACCUGGGAACUGCGCUUGUGACUGCUAAGCUAGAGUACGGCAGAGGGGGGUGGAAUUCCACGUGUAGCAGUGAAAUGCGUAGAGAUGUGGAGGAACACCGAUGGCGAAGGCAGCCCCCUGGGCCGAUACUGACGCUCAUGCACGAAAGCGUGGGUAGCAAACAGGAUUAGAUACCCUGGUAGUCCACGCCCUANACGAUGUCAACUAGGUGUUGGGUGGGUAAAACCAUUUAGUACCGGAGCCAACGCGUGAAGUUGACCGCCUGGGGAGUACGGCCGCAAGGUUAAAACUCAAAGGAAUUGACGGGGACCCGCACAAGCGGUGGAUGANGUGGAUUAAUUCGAUG